GCCCAGGUGGCGGAAUUGGUAGACGCGCUGGUUUCAGGUACCAGUGACGCAAGUCGUGGAGGUUCGAGUCCUCUCUUGGGCACCA
This 85-nucleotide transfer RNA is filed under the name Pseudochelatococcus contaminans. Its description in RNAcentral is "tRNA-Leu". It matches the Rfam family "tRNA". From Rfam's summary of the family: Transfer RNA (tRNA) molecules are approximately 80 nucleotides in length. The record is from RNAcentral. Lineage: Bacteria; Pseudomonadati; Pseudomonadota; Alphaproteobacteria; Hyphomicrobiales; Chelatococcaceae.